This 455-nucleotide long non-coding RNA is filed under the name Lupinus mutabilis. RNAcentral's name for it is "partial ncRNA". The record is from RNAcentral. Lineage: Eukaryota; Viridiplantae; Streptophyta; Magnoliopsida; Fabales; Fabaceae.
CCACCAUCACCUGUGGUUAAGCCUCCAUACUAUUACAAAUCUCCACCUCCACCAUCCCCUUCUCCACCACCUCCUUACUACUACAAGAGUCCCCCUCCACCAUCACCUGUGGUUAAGCCACCAUACUACUACAAAUCUCCCCCACCACCCUCACCCGUGGUUAAGCCUCCAUACUAUUACAAUUCUCCACCUCCACCAUCACCCUCUCCCCCUCCUCCAUACUAUUACAAAUCUCCACCUCCACCAUCCCCUUCUCCACCACCUCCAUACUACUACAAGAGUCCCCCACCACCAUCGCCCGUGGUUAAGCCUCCAUACUAUUACAAGUCUCCACCUCCACCAUCACCUUCUCCUCCACCUCCUUACUACUACAAGAGCCCCCCUCCACCAUCACCCUCUCCACCUCCUCCAUACUAUUAUAAAUCCCCACCACCACCAUCACCAGUGGUUAAGCC